This 259-nucleotide long non-coding RNA is filed under the name Dasypus novemcinctus (nine-banded armadillo). RNAcentral's name for it is "lncRNA (ENSDNOG00000050552.1)". The record is from RNAcentral. Lineage: Eukaryota; Metazoa; Chordata; Mammalia; Cingulata; Dasypodidae.
CGACCGGCGGAGCACAAGGCAGGAUGCAGCAGAGAGAGCGGUUUCCUGUUCUCAACGUUGAGCCCAGAGGUGGAAACUAAGGCUUUGGCAGAGCCACGCGCCCUACGGAAGCUCCGGGGGAUCCGCCCUUGCCCGUCCAGCUUCGGGGGAGCAGGUGCCCGUCGGCUCAUCUCUGCCUUGUGUGCACAUGGCCGUCCUCUGUGAGGCCAUGUCCCGAAUCUCUUAAAAGGACACCAGUCAUUGGAUUUAGGACGCAGCC